CUACGGAGGGUCCAAGCGUUAUCCGGAAUCAUUGGGUUUAAAGGGUCCGCAGGCGGUCAAUUAAGUCAGAGGUGAAAGCCCAUCGCUCAACGAUGGAACUGCCUUUGAUACUGGUUGACUUGAGUUAUACGGAAGUAGAUAGAAUAAGUAGUGUAGCGGUGAAAUGCAUAGAUAUUACUUAGAAUACCGAUUGCGAAGGCAGUCUACUACGUAUAUACUGACGCUGAGGGACGAAAGCGUGGGGAGCAAACAGGAGUAGAAACCCUAGUAGUCC
Molecule: ribosomal RNA, 274 nt
Filed under: uncultured bacterium
Lineage: Bacteria
Description: partial 16S ribosomal RNA
Rfam family: Bacterial small subunit ribosomal RNA
Source: RNAcentral